AUGCCCGGCGCCUACUCUUCCUCCAUGAUUAUUAUUCAUGCUCUCCUGCUCCUCGUGCUAAUUCCGCUCGCCGCAGCACAGCCGUGGACCAACUGCGGCAGAGGCCAAGGCAACUACUCGGCAGGCAGCACAUACGAGACCAAUCUCCUAGACCUCCUCCUCGGCACCCUCCGCCAUAACGCCUCCUCGUCGCCGUCCCUGUUCGCCAAAGGAUCCCUCGGUGCCGCGCCGGACACUGCCUGGGCCCUGAUUCUCUGCCGAGGCGACGUCAGCGCCAGGAUGUGCUACGAGUGCGUCACCUGGGCUGGUCACGAGGCGGCCACAGCCUGCAACCGCAGCAGGGACGUGGCCCUCUGCUACGACCAGUGCUACGUCCGCCUAGCCGACCACAACUUCUUGGACCCCAACGGCAACUCCGGCGUGGUAUCGUCCGUGAGCGCUCUAGGUAUCACCAACGGGGACGUCGUCGGCUACGACUGGGCCGUCACCGACCUGUUCAGCUCCACGGUGGAGUAUGCGGUGGACAACUCGAUCUCCUCCAGGAUGUUCGCCAUGGGGUAUUCGGCAGGGACCGAGCCGGGGUUCCACGCGAUCUACAAGGCGGCCGCAGUGCCGAAACUGCCUACAAGGCCUCAUGGGCAUGUGACACGCGGGGCGCGAGGCUGGCUGGUCCUUGAGGUCCGAACUAUUCCAGUUCUUCAAUGA
RNAcentral lists this ribosomal RNA (705 nucleotides) under Triticum aestivum (bread wheat). Its description in RNAcentral is "partial small subunit ribosomal RNA". Lineage: Eukaryota; Viridiplantae; Streptophyta; Magnoliopsida; Poales; Poaceae. The record is from RNAcentral.